GAACGGUAACAGGCCCGCAAGGGUGCUGACGAGUGGCGGACGGGUGAGGAAUACAUCGGAAUCUGCCCGGUUGUGGGGGAUAACGUAGGGAAACUUACGCUAAUACCGCAUACGACCGAGAGGUGAAAGCGGGGGAUCGCAAGACCUCGCGCGAUCGGAUGAGCCGAUGUCGGAUUAGCUAGUUGGCGGGGUAAAGGCCCACCAAGGCGACGAUCCGUAGCUGGUCUGAGAGGAUGAUCAGCCACACUGGGACUGAGACACGGCCCAGACUCCUACGGGAGGCAGCAGUGGGGAAUAUUGGACAAUGGGGGCAACCCUGAUCCAGCAAUGCCGCGUGUGUGAAGAAGGCCUUCGGGUUGUAAAGCACUUUUAUCCGGAACGAAACGCGCAGGGUGAAUAUCCUUGCGAACUGACGGUACCGGAGGAAUAAGCACCGGCUAACUUAGUG
Molecule: ribosomal RNA, 448 nt
Filed under: uncultured bacterium
Lineage: Bacteria
Description: bacterial SSU rRNA
Rfam family: Bacterial small subunit ribosomal RNA
Source: RNAcentral